Xylaria intraflava is the source of this 69-nucleotide non-coding RNA. Lineage: Eukaryota; Fungi; Ascomycota; Sordariomycetes; Xylariales; Xylariaceae. The record is from the annotation of a GenBank genome assembly.
UUCGUUCUCUGUAGUUAACUCGUCGGCCUCCUAAGCCGAAGAUUCUCGGUUCGAGUCCGAGGUGCGGUG